GCUGGGCAUGGUGGCACAGGCCUGUAGUCCCAGCUACUUGGGAGGCUGAGGCAGGAGGAUUGCUUGAGCCCAGGAGACGGAGGUUGCAGUGAACUGAGAUCAUGCCACUGCACUCCAGCCUGGGCAAUAGAGCAAGACUCUGUCUCAA
Molecule: non-coding RNA, 148 nt
Filed under: Gorilla gorilla gorilla (western lowland gorilla)
Lineage: Eukaryota; Metazoa; Chordata; Mammalia; Primates; Hominidae
Source: Rfam by way of RNAcentral